CAGUAGGGAGGAAGGUAGUGUAGUUAACACCUGCAUUUAUUGUACGUUACCUACAGAAGAAGACACCGGACUAACUCCGUCGCCAGCAGCCGACGGUAAGUACGGGAGGGUGCGAGCGUUAAGUACGGUAAUUACGUGGGACGUAAAGCGCAUGCAGGCGGCCGUGUUAAGUCAGAUGUAGAAAGGCCCGGGGACCUUUAACCGUACGGUAAGUUGCUAUUUAGUAAACGUGGCGAGGCUAGAGUCUUGUAGGAGGGGGGUAGGAAUUUCAGGUGUAGCGGUGAAAUGCGUAGAGAUCUGAAGGAAUACCAGUGGCGAAGGCGGCCCCCUGGACAAAGACUGACGCUCAGAUGCGAAAGCGUGGGGAGCAAACAGGAUUAGAUACCCUGGUAG
This 393-nucleotide ribosomal RNA is filed under the name uncultured bacterium. RNAcentral describes it as "bacterial SSU rRNA". It matches the Rfam family "Bacterial small subunit ribosomal RNA", at positions 434 to 793 of the family's 1533-position model. The record is from RNAcentral.